CCCUUUGCUCCUCUCCCUCCCCUCUUCACAUCCAAGAGGUUGGGCGUCUAUCUGGUUCUUGUCCAAGGUGUGGUGGCUUCCUGAUUAGAAGGCUGCAGAGAUUUAUCGAGAAGCUACUGCUCCAGCUUCAGAAGAUCUUUUAAAGAUCUCUGAUCAGAUCUAGAUCUGAUUUUUGGAGCAAAGAUUCGGGAGGAGAAGAUGAUCCAG
Molecule: long non-coding RNA, 207 nt
Filed under: Elaeis guineensis (African oil palm)
Lineage: Eukaryota; Viridiplantae; Streptophyta; Magnoliopsida; Arecales; Arecaceae
Description: long non-coding RNA (EGUI_LNC019066)
Source: RNAcentral